Molecule: ribosomal RNA, 247 nt
Filed under: uncultured bacterium
Lineage: Bacteria
Description: partial 16S ribosomal RNA
Rfam family: Bacterial small subunit ribosomal RNA
Source: RNAcentral
AAGUCGAACGAGAUCUUCGGAUCUAGUGGCGCACGGGUGCGUAACGCGUGGGAAUCUGCCCUUGGGUUCGGAAUAACAGUUAGAAAUGACUGCUAAUACCGGAUGAUGACGUAAGUCCAAAGAUUUAUCGCCCAAGGAUGAGCCCGCGUAGGAUUAGCUAGUUGGUGGGGUAAAGGCCCACCAAGGCGACGAUCCUUAGCUGGUCUGAGAGGAUGAUCAGCCACACUGGGACUGAGACACGGCCCAG